UACGUAGGGGCUAGCGUUAUCCGGAAUUACUGGGCGUAAAGGGUGCGUAGGUGGUUUCUUAAGUCAGAGGUGAAAGGCUACGGCUCAACCGUAGUAAGCCUUUGAAGCUGGGAAACUUGAGUGCAGGAGAGGAGAGUGGAAUUCCUAGUGUAGCGGUGAAAUGCGUAGAUAUUAGGAGGAACACCAGUUGCGAAGGCGGCUCUCUGGACUGUAACUGACACUGAGGCACGAAAGCGUGGGGAGCAAACAGGAUUAGAUACCCUGGUAGUCCCUGA
RNAcentral lists this ribosomal RNA (275 nucleotides) under uncultured prokaryote. RNAcentral's name for it is "partial 16S ribosomal RNA". It matches the Rfam family "Bacterial small subunit ribosomal RNA", at positions 524 to 800 of the family's 1533-position model. The record is from RNAcentral.